ACUCCUACGGGAGGCAGCAGUGGGGGAUAUUGCACAAUGGAAGAAACUCUGAUGCAGCGACGCCGCGUGAGGGAAGAAGGCCUUCGGGUUGUAAACCUCUGUCUUCGGGGACGAACAAAUGACGGUACCCGAGGAGGAAGCCACGGCUAACUACGUGCCAGCAGCCGCGGUAAU
This 174-nucleotide ribosomal RNA is filed under the name uncultured bacterium. RNAcentral describes it as "partial 16S ribosomal RNA". It matches the Rfam family "Bacterial small subunit ribosomal RNA", at positions 335 to 524 of the family's 1533-position model. The record is from RNAcentral.